RNAcentral lists this long non-coding RNA (1088 nucleotides) under Nicotiana benthamiana. RNAcentral's name for it is "long non-coding RNA (NBEN_LNC012623)". The record is from RNAcentral. Lineage: Eukaryota; Viridiplantae; Streptophyta; Magnoliopsida; Solanales; Solanaceae.
GGGUAUCUGUGCGUAAUUAAACUUUUAAUUAUAGGAAGAUGCAACUAUGCAAUCCUUGUCACCCAAACCCUGCCAAAAAGAUAGAAAACAAGCUUCAAAAACUUAACUCCUUUAUCAACAUCUUUAAGACCAAAAUUCAAGAUAAAAAUAAUCAUAAAACAACUAUGACCACUUUUCAUAGCCCAAAAGCCGAGAAGAAAUGAACAUCAUCACUUUUACCUUAUUACUACAACAAGAAUCGGAUAUUAAUCAUACAAACAAACACAGAGAUAGUCUAAAGGUGUGCUGCUUGGUCAAUGAAGUGGGUGAAAACUAUGAGAAACCAAGGUUCAAAUCCAUGUUGGACAAAAGACACUAAGUGAAUUCUUCCAAUAGGCAUAAGCCAUAGCGGGCAGAAUUACUUGAUGACUCAAUAACUUUGCUAGUGGGAGGUGGCAAGUACCCGGUGGAUUAAUCGAGUAGCGGAAAAGCUGGAUCGGACUCCACCAUUGUAUAAACAAGGGAAAACAAAAAGGAACAAACACAAGUAUGAACAAAUAGCUUUAGGUGGUCGUGUAUAUGUUCAUCUCAAUUUCGAGUUCAUUAUAUAUUGAGUUACUUCAAUCAGAAAACACAUCAUCCACCAAGUCUUGCAUUAUGAUCACAUUAGACAUGAAUAACAUCUACAAUCAAUAAACUGUGCAGUGCACUUUAAUCGUCAGGUCGGCUCUGUGAAUCCCUGUGUCCAACCCAAUCAAUUUCAUAUCAUAUCAUUCCAAUACUAAAUAGUUUCGCUAAUAAUAUCUACCGCAGUGCACUUUAAUCGUCAGGUCGGCUCUGUGAAUUCCUGUAUCCAACCCAAUCAAUUUCAUAUCAUAUCAUUCCAAUACUAAAUAGUUUCGCUAAUAAUAUCUACAACCACGAGCAUAAAAGUGCAAAUUCGUUCAAUAAACCACAAUUGGCAAAGCUUGACGUCAAUUGUACUAAUUACUUCUCCAUAUUAAAACAUAAUAACAUUAAAUCCUAAUAAUACAAGCAAAUAAUUCAAUAAACCUUAUCUUUUUACCAAAAUAUUUCAACAAACUAGUGAUACUUUAGUGUGAUAAAUU